CUAAGAAUAUUCCGCAAUGGGGGAAACCCUGACGGAGCGACGCCGCGUGGACGAGGAAGGCCGGAAGGUUGUAAAGUCCUUUUGAACCGGAAGAAUAAACAGUGCAGGGAAUGGCAGUGUGGUGACGGUACGGUUUGAAUAAGAGGCGGCUAAUUACGUGCCAGCAGCCGCGGUAACACGUAAGCCUCGAGCGUUGUUCGGAAUUAUUGGGCGUAAAGGGCAUGUAGGCGGUAAUCUAAGCUUGGUGUGAAAGGCAGGGGCUUAACUCCUGGACAGCAUUGAGAACUGGAUUGCUAGAGUUACUGAAGUGAAAGGCGGGGGCUCAACCCCCGGACUGCUUUGGAAACUGUCCGGCUGGAGUGCAGGAGAGGUAAGUGGAAUUCCUAGUGUAGCGGUGAA
Molecule: ribosomal RNA, 399 nt
Filed under: uncultured Treponema sp.
Lineage: Bacteria; Pseudomonadati; Spirochaetota; Spirochaetia; Treponematales; Treponemataceae
Description: bacterial SSU rRNA
Rfam family: Bacterial small subunit ribosomal RNA
Source: RNAcentral